RNAcentral lists this ribosomal RNA (407 nucleotides) under uncultured bacterium. RNAcentral describes it as "partial 16S ribosomal RNA". It matches the Rfam family "Bacterial small subunit ribosomal RNA", at positions 28 to 526 of the family's 1533-position model. The record is from RNAcentral.
GACGAACGCUGGCGGCGUGCCUAAUACAUGCAAGUAGAACGCAGUUGCGAACGGGUGAGUAAAGCGUCGGUAACUGCCUCAUAGCGGGGGGUAACCAUCGGAAAAGGUAGCUAAUACCGCAUACUGUGAGAUGGACCUGCGUUGUUUUAGAUAGUUGGUGAGGUCAACGCCCCCCAAGGCGACGAUACAUAGCCGACCUGAGAGGGGGGUCUGCCACCCGGGGAACUAGACACCGCCCAAAAUCCUACCGGAUGCCGCAUGAGGGAAUCUUCGGCAAUGGACGGAAGUCUGACCGAGCCACGCCGGGUGAGUGAAGGAGGUUUUCGGAUCGUAAAGCUCUGUUGUGAGAGAAGCGGUAACUAACCAGAAAGGGACGGCUAACUACGUGCCAGCAGCCGCGGUAAUUC